UUAUUGGGCGUAAGGGCUCGCAGGCGGUUUCUUAAGUCUGAUGUGAAAGCCCCCGGCUCAACCGGGGAGGGUCAUUGGAAACUGGGGAACUUGAGUGCAGAAGAGGAGAGUGGAAUUCCACGUGUAGCGGUGAAAUGCGUAGAGAUGUGGAGGAACACCAGUGGCGAAGGCGACUCUCUGGUCUGUAACUGACGCUGAGGAGCGAAAGCGUGGGGAGCGAACAGGAUUAGAUACCCUGGUAGUCCACGCCGUAAACGAUGAGUGCUAAGUGUUAGGGGGUUUCCGCCCCUUAGUGCUGCAGCUAACGCAUUAAGCACUCCGCCUGGGGAGUACGGUCGCAAGACUGAAACUCAAAGGAAUUGACGGGGGCCCGCACAAGCGGUGGAGCAUGUGGUUUAAUUCUAAGCAACGCGAAGAACCUUACCAGGUCUUGACAGCGCUGACAAUCCUAGAUAUAGGACGUCCCCUUCGGGGGCAGAGUGACAGGUGGUGCAUGGUUGUCGU
RNAcentral lists this ribosomal RNA (504 nucleotides) under Bacillus subtilis. Its description in RNAcentral is "bacterial SSU rRNA". It matches the Rfam family "Bacterial small subunit ribosomal RNA", at positions 551 to 1055 of the family's 1533-position model. Lineage: Bacteria; Bacillati; Bacillota; Bacilli; Caryophanales; Bacillaceae. The record is from RNAcentral.